GUGCACGGGAAGCAGUGGGAUGGCCAACGUGCAGACCUUCCACAGGUUGCACUGUGCGUGUGGCAGGCAAUGCGCAAGGCGCAGUGGAUCCUCAGUGGCUAGGCGCGACAAAAGUUCUAUCUGAACUGUGUCAAUUACAAUGUAGAAGGUGCCAGGUUUUGCGAAGUGUACCUCUGGGAGGAUGACCUCGACAGGUACACGAACCAGCGUUACCAAGCUGCUAUUGAUCUUGCCAACUACCACAAGACUCGUCACGAGAGGUGCGAGGAGAAGCUGGACGAGGUUUAUGAAGAGCUCGAGGAGGCAAAUGCUGAGAUAAGGAAGCUCAAGAGGAUGAACAAGGCACUCCAGAUGGCUUUAGCGGCUACUGCACCAGUCAGCUGCAAUCAUAGCGAUCACGUCUGCAUGGGUGGCUAAGUGAGACAGAUGUCAUUGACCUAGAGAUUUGGUGGCCCAUACACCAUCUAUUUGUAUCUUACUGCUUUUUAAGUGUCCACUUGUUAGGAGCUUGGAAGUUUUGUUUCCUACUAAAGGCUCAGUGCCUGAUGUAGUGUAUCAAGCGGUGGUAGCAGUUGUCAGUCGGCAAUUUAUUUAUUUUUUCGAAACGGAGGCAAAAGAUUUGCCUCAUCCAUUAAAUAAGAGGAGAAUAGAGUUUAGAGUUUUUACAA
Triticum urartu is the source of this 668-nucleotide non-coding RNA. NCBI's taxonomy places the organism in Eukaryota, Viridiplantae, Streptophyta, Magnoliopsida, Poales, Poaceae. The record is from RefSeq and is a predicted model, not a curated record.